GUAAGUAUCAACAAAGCGUGUCCGGGUCCCCCGCCAUAAGGAGGAUGUUGUCUAGGUAGAUGAUGGAACACACCCUCUGGGCACAGAGAAAUGCCAUGACAGGCUUAAGAAACUUGGUGAAACACCAAGGGGCUGAGCUGAGGCUGAUAGGCAGGCAUGUGAAUUGCCAGAGUUGACUGUCCCACAGGAAUUGUAGGAAAUGUCUGUUCUUCCCUUGAAUCAGAACAGUG
Pelobates cultripes (western spadefoot toad) is the source of this 230-nucleotide non-coding RNA. The record is from the annotation of a GenBank genome assembly. Lineage: Eukaryota; Metazoa; Chordata; Amphibia; Anura; Pelobatidae.